AUGAACGCUGGCGGCGUGCCUAACACAUGCAAGUCGAACGGAGAUUAACGCUGAUGAGGCUUCGGCGGAUUCUGUUAAAUCUAGUGGCGGACGGGUGAGUAACGCGUGGGCAACCUGCCUCAUACUGGGGGAUAACAGUUGGAAACGACUGUUAAUACCGCAUAAGCGCACUAAAGUCGCAUGACUCAGUGUGAAAAACUCCGGUGGUAUGAGAUGGGCCCGCGUCAGAUUAGCUAGUUGGUGGGGUAAAGGCCUACCAAGGCGACGAUCUGUAGCCGGACUGAGAGGUCGGACGGCCACAUUGGGACUGAGACACGGCCCAAACUCCUACGGGAGGCAGCAGUGGGGGAUAUUGCACAAUGGAGGAAACUCUGAUGCAGCGACGCCGCGUGAAGUGAAGAAGUAUUUCGGUAUGUAAAGCUCUAUCAGCAGGGAAGAAAGGCUCGUAGGAGAGAUGACGGUACCUGACUAAGAAGCCCCGGCUAACUACGUGCCAGCAGCCGC
RNAcentral lists this ribosomal RNA (504 nucleotides) under uncultured bacterium. RNAcentral describes it as "bacterial SSU rRNA". It matches the Rfam family "Bacterial small subunit ribosomal RNA", at positions 29 to 518 of the family's 1533-position model. The record is from RNAcentral.